AGUGGACCAUCCCAAUUCCCAAGUCUUCUUCUCCCCAGUCCCCACGGCUUCUCUCUGUCUGCAGGAAGCGCGUCCGCUGCCGCCGGCCGAUUCUUCGUCUUCACGCGCACCCAGGGUAGAGCAGCCCCACCACGCCUGGUCGUCCUCUCCUCUCCUCCACUAAUGCUUCCCCAUCACGGCUCCUCUUCUCCCGCUAGCCCCGAGCCACCGCCGUCAUCGUCCUUCGCCGCCGUGCCGUUUCAGAGCCCCUCCGCAGCCGGUGAAGACUUCCUCGUGACCCUGGACGCCCACUCUUCCACUUUUCUGUGCUCGGCACUGCCCCGGUUCACCUCGACACCGCCAGCCGUGCCACCAUCCACCCUCCGCACAAGUAACAACAAGAAGCUCAUUGUGUGGUAGAGGAUCCGAAUUUGUUUGAGGACGAUCCACAUGACAUUUUUGUGCAAGAGGGUGAUGAAGAAGACUUUGAUGGAGAUUUUGAUGAAUACUGAGUCUAACGAUGCGCCGGUCAUCUUCCUGUGGGAGAUUACCCAUGUUAUUUCCGCUAUACUUUGAUGAUACUGUUUAAGAUACUUAUGUCUGGAUGAUGUAAUAAAG
This 597-nucleotide unclassified non-coding RNA is filed under the name Zea mays. Its description in RNAcentral is "misc RNA Zm00001eb140870". Lineage: Eukaryota; Viridiplantae; Streptophyta; Magnoliopsida; Poales; Poaceae. The record is from RNAcentral.